AAGUUGAGUUUAGUAAGCCUUAUAGGGAUUCCUCCUUGAUACGCUCCCACGCCUCAUAAAGAGACUCCCCAUCUUUUUGAUUGAAACGCGUGAUUUGGUCUCUAAGCUU
Medicago truncatula (barrel medic) is the source of this 109-nucleotide small nucleolar RNA. The record is from RefSeq and is a predicted model, not a curated record. NCBI's taxonomy places the organism in Eukaryota, Viridiplantae, Streptophyta, Magnoliopsida, Fabales, Fabaceae.